AGUCUAAGUAUAAGUUAUUCUGAAGACGAAACUGCGAAUGGCUCGGUAAAACAGCAAUAAUUUCUUCGGUGAUGAUUUUACUCACGGAUAACCGUAGUAAUUCUAGAGCUAAUACGUGCUGAAAUAAGGUGGGGCUUGCGCUCCACCGUGCCGUUUAGAUAACAACACCAACAUUUGGUGAUUCAUAAUCGUCUUUCUGAUCGCUUUCGAGCGACACACCGUUCAAAUUUCUGACCUAUCAACUUUCGAUGUUAAGGUAGUGUCUUAACAUGGUGGUAACGGGUAACGGACCGUGGGUGCGGGACUCCGGAGAGGGAGCCUGAGAAACGGCUACCACAUCCAAGGAAGGCAGCAGGCGCGCAACUUACCCAAUCCAGACUCUGGGAGGUAGUGACAAGAAAUAUCAAUAGGGGAGCCUACGGUUCUUCUAAUUGGAAUGAGAUCGAGCUAAACAGCCAUAUCGAGAAUCCAGCAGAGGGCAAGUCUGGUGCCAGCAGCCGCGGUAAUUCCAGCUCUGUAAGCGUAUACCAAAGUUGUUGCAGUUAAAACGCUCGUAGUCGGACUUUGGCAGUUCCGGGAGUGUGCGCGUCGUGCGCACGCUUUGCGGGGACUGCUUUUGUGGUAUUGCGUGGGAUGAAGCAUUUUAAUUAAUGAACGUCCCUCCGCAACCACUUUUUACUGUGAGAAAAUCAGAGUGCUCAAAGCAGGCAUUUGCCGUGAAUGUAUUAGCAUGGAAUAAUAGAAUAGGACUUAGUUCUAUUUUGUUGGUUUGUUGGGACUGAGUAAUGAUUAAGAGGGACAGUUGGGGGUAUUUGUAUUUCGGCGCUAGAGGUGAAAUUCUUAGAUUGCC
RNAcentral lists this ribosomal RNA (850 nucleotides) under Lithophyllum sp. JJHK-2013. Its description in RNAcentral is "SSU rRNA". It matches the Rfam family "Eukaryotic small subunit ribosomal RNA", at positions 56 to 929 of the family's 1831-position model. The record is from RNAcentral. Lineage: Eukaryota; Rhodophyta; Florideophyceae; Corallinales; Lithophyllaceae.